This 203-nucleotide unclassified non-coding RNA is filed under the name uncultured Sebacinales. RNAcentral describes it as "sequence contains ITS2". Lineage: Eukaryota; Fungi; Basidiomycota; Agaricomycetes; Sebacinales. The record is from RNAcentral.
UAAUCUCACCAUCCAACUCUGUGUUGGCAUGUUGUGGAUUUGGAUGCUGCCGUGUCACACUGGCUCAUCUGAAAUGCCCGAGUACAUCCUGGAUUGUGAUGCGUGUUCGGUGUGAUAAACUUUCACCGUCUUUGAUCCCAGCGGUCACACUCUCACCCCCAAGGCUCUGUGCUUCCAACCGUCUCGAUCAGACAAUUUUGACA